UACGAAGGGGCUAGCGUUGCUCGGAAUCACUGGGCGUAAAGGGUGCGUAGGCGGGUCUUUUAAGUCAGGGUGAAAUCCUGGAGCUCAACUCCAGAACUGCCUUUGAUACUGAAGAUCUUGAGUUCGGGAGAGGUGAGUGGAACUGCGAGUGUAGAGGUGAAAUUCGUAGAUAUUCGCAAGAACACCAGUGGCGAAGGCGGCUCACUGGCCCGAUACUGA
Molecule: ribosomal RNA, 219 nt
Filed under: uncultured bacterium
Lineage: Bacteria
Description: partial 16S ribosomal RNA
Rfam family: Bacterial small subunit ribosomal RNA
Source: RNAcentral